This 420-nucleotide ribosomal RNA is filed under the name bacterium AV-V-17. Its description in RNAcentral is "bacterial SSU rRNA". It matches the Rfam family "Bacterial small subunit ribosomal RNA", at positions 340 to 751 of the family's 1533-position model. The record is from RNAcentral.
UACGGGAGGCAGCAGUGGGGAAUAUUGCACAAUGGGCGAAAGCCUGAUGCAGCCAUGCCGCGUGUAUGAAGAAGGCCUUCGGGUUGUAAAGUACUUUCAGUAGUGAGGAAGGGUGUGUAGUUAAUAGCUGCACAUCUUGACGUUAGCAACAGAAGAAGCACCGGCUAACUCCGUGCCAGCAGCCGCGGUAAUACGGAGGGUGCGAGCGUUAAUCGGAAUUACUGGGCGUAAAGCGCAUGCAGGUGGUUCAUUAAGUCAGAUGUGAAAUCCCGGGGCUCAACCUGGGAACUGCAUUUGAAACUGGUGAACUAGAGUACGUGUAGAGGGGGGUAGAAUUUCAGGUGUAGCGGUGAAAUGCGUAUAUAUCUGAAGGAAUACCAGUGGCGAAGGCGGCCCCCUGGACAGAUACUGACACUCAGA